Molecule: long non-coding RNA, 424 nt
Filed under: Manihot esculenta (cassava)
Lineage: Eukaryota; Viridiplantae; Streptophyta; Magnoliopsida; Malpighiales; Euphorbiaceae
Description: long non-coding RNA (MESC_LNC010519)
Source: RNAcentral
CAGAUUCAAAGGAGGACAUGAACAGAAUGGAAUUGGAAACUAGCAUCCGACGAGUUAUCCUGAAGUACCGGAAGACCUCGGUAAAGAAAGGAGAAAAGGGGAAGGUUAAGCCAAACUCCCUCUGUUUAGCGAAAAAGACCAGGCUAAGAUCCUUUUGGGGAUCGAUUAGGUCGGAGGGAGGAGGAUCAGGAAGAACGAUCCUCUCGUUCGGGUAGGGGGCCCGAAUACGAAAGAGAGGGGUAUCUAAAUACUCCCUAGAGAAGAAAUUUUUUAGGGCAGAUGGAGUGACAUUAGACUCUACUCUAAGAACGUCGGGAAGUUUUGGGCUAUCCAUGGAAGGACAAAGAGGAGAGCGUACCUUGAAAGUGGCUGGGGCAGAAGGACGAUGUAGGCAAAUCGCGCAGAAGAUAGAAGAGAGCAAAGG